Dromaius novaehollandiae (emu) is the source of this 226-nucleotide long non-coding RNA. RefSeq lists it as uncharacterized. Lineage: Eukaryota; Metazoa; Chordata; Aves; Casuariiformes; Dromaiidae. The record is from RefSeq and is a predicted model, not a curated record. The transcript is spliced from 3 exons.
AUAGUUUCUGUGAAUAUACUUUUCAGGAAGUUAACUUGUUGGAAAAGAAAAUUGUCAAAGCAUCCAGAAUCUGAUGUGUUGUGUUUUGCCUGCAAGAAUUCAUGCCAGCAUCCCAUACCUCAGAAGUAAGCCGAGGCAUCUGAGUACCCAGCUCCUGCAGCAUCCUACUGCUCAAGUCACACCCUUGGUAUCAACAGGAUGACGUGCACAACAUGUCCAACAUAAA